UAAUUAAAAUCGAUUGUGUUGCUUUUUGUGGUAACGCUUUCGGAAUUGAAUCUUUCUUAACUACCGGUUAAGUGGUUUAAAAUUUAUUUGGGCGAUUUUUUAACGCGUACUUAAGACACGUUUUUUAUACGUUUUGAAACGCCGAACUUUAUUAGUUAUGACCUUUUUCGGUUACAUGUCUAUAACAUCAUUUCAUU
This 197-nucleotide unclassified non-coding RNA is filed under the name uncultured Glomus. Its description in RNAcentral is "partial internal transcribed spacer 2". The record is from RNAcentral. Lineage: Eukaryota; Fungi; Glomeromycota; Glomeromycetes; Glomerales; Glomeraceae.